Long non-coding RNA from Gallus gallus (chicken), 1629 nucleotides. The record is from Ensembl. Lineage: Eukaryota; Metazoa; Chordata; Aves; Galliformes; Phasianidae.
GGACCUAAGCCUGGAAGGAGGCAAAUCCUGCAGGCUGCUAGGGUGAGGGAAACUGAAAAUGACCUCUUGCUGUCAAAUUUCACUCAUUCGUUUUAACCCAAGGUUUCCCCAAGGCUGCAGAACAAAUUCCUUCUGUGCAGGAAGUGCUCGUGCUAAUCCAGAGGUUCAAAGCCUGUAUGAGGAAAUAUAAUGCUUCCUCCAGGGACUUUUCAGAGGAGAGUGGUUGACCACAAGAAAAUAAAAUCUCCUGCAGCUGAUCGUAAGCCUGUGUGAGAGGGCUGCUGAGGAGUCACCUAGGAAUGACUGCAAUUCCUGUUUAUGAGUCAGCAGGGAAGGAGCAGCCCAAGUCAGAUUUUGGGAGAUGCCUGCGCUGUCUGCCUCUUUUCAGACCAUGGGAACACUGCAAGGAAAAUAAUGAGGAGAUAUGAGGUUAAGGAAUGUGGGAAUUCAAGGUUCUAUAGACCAUGCUUAUGGAUGGAUUGAUGUAGCUGCCUGCUAGGCAUGACAACACCUGCAGCAAGCAGAGAUGUGAGCUCUGAUCCAGCAUUGCUGCGUCAUGUUAAGUUUCAGAUGCUGCUGUAAUGUAGAAGAAGAGAGGCAGAGCUCGGGAGACCUGACAGGAGUGAUACCCCUUUAUCCUAUGACCACAUCUACUGUGGGACCUCCUCAACUGCCAUCUUCUUGAUUUGAAGCCUUUUCUUCAAGACAGAGACCCAAAGAAGUGCCACACGCACAGCACCUGGAGCAGCCAAAGAGUUAAAUCACUUCCCAUCGCCGUUUACAUGGGAUACAGAAACAACUUUUCCUGCUGCAUCUGUAGCUGCCAGCAGAACUCAGUGACAGCUUUAUAAAUCACACCUGAAGCAAAUAAAAAUGCCAUGUCCAGAAUGAGCCCUUAUCUCUUCUUGUUUGUGUUUGGCUAUUUUGUUUCUAAAGGUCACGGGUGGAAGCAGAAUGAGCCGUCACUGGGUGAUGUAUGUAGUCUUUGGCAUGGAGUGACUGAUUUUCUGUUAGGGCACAGUAAUACAAAUGUGAAUGGAAGAAGUGGGGGAGAGAAGAGGUGAGAAAAGCUAUGAAGCAAGCAGUGAAAGAAAAAAAAGGAGGGAAAAGAAAAAAAAGGAAAAAAAGAAAUGUAAUUGCAAUAGCCUCCAAAGUACAUGGAACACAAAGCAGCUGUUAAGGAAAAAUGGGAAGAACAGAUGAAAAACAAGAAGUUCAGCCAGUUCUAUGUUUUGGUAAAUGAUGCAGAACCACACUAUUCUGUGUCCAGGAGGGAAAGGUACCCUUUUGUCUCAUGCUUCUUAUAUCCCAUCUUAACCUGCUCUGGAAGCUCCCCACAUAUGUUAUCAGGGGUCAUCAUAAGAAAAAGUACAGUUUUACUCACGUAAUCACUAAUAGUUUUAUAUGGAGAGGAGGUGGGGAAUGGGAGAGGGUACUGUUACAGAGUCAUUACACUUGCUUAGCAGGAAGUAAAACAGUUCAGAUCUGAGAUUUUCCCUCAAUGGUCUACACAAUGUCUCUAAAAUCUUCUGUUUGGGCUGGGUCAUCGCUUUCAGAAGGGCUUUGAAUUCUAGGAUUUAGAUGGUGCAAAGCUCACUGCUCUGUGGGGAAAUUAUUUCAGAGAUUAAU